UAGGACUUAUAAAUUAAUCGUGACUUACGGCCCACCGUGCUGUCCACGGCGUUUUUUUUAUAAAAGGAUCUGAUGACACGUGGAAGCCUGAUCAUCCUCUUGCGCGGUGGUUUAACUAGCAGCGAAGUCCAUCCACGUGUUUUGCUAGGCCCAAUUGUACUGACCAUUUGGGCGAACAUGGGAAUGGCGACAGUCGGACAGACACAGAGGGAGGUCGGGCCGAGGCUGACUCAGUAAGCCUCAGACUGCUAAGCAGCUUGGUGCCUACCAAUUAGAAAAUUAUUUUUCAUUGAAUAUUUUGGUGCCGUUGAAAUUGGGUAAGAUAAAGCAAUGUGAUGUGAUUGCUCAUUAUUGUGGAAUGAUUUUGGGUCUCAAUCGUCCCUGAUAAUGCCACGUGUCUGUGAUUGGCUACAAAUAUGAUCAGACAGAGGACCAAUGUAGCUAAUAAUUUUCCUUUUUUUUAAUAAUUAAAGCUUAAAAAAAACUUCAUCACUACAUCAUAACUUAUACUAUCAAAUUACACUUGGAAAAAGGGUGAAUAUGAUGAAGA
Molecule: long non-coding RNA, 550 nt
Filed under: Durio zibethinus
Lineage: Eukaryota; Viridiplantae; Streptophyta; Magnoliopsida; Malvales; Malvaceae
Description: long non-coding RNA (DZIB_LNC002465)
Source: RNAcentral